RNAcentral lists this ribosomal RNA (504 nucleotides) under uncultured bacterium. RNAcentral describes it as "partial 16S ribosomal RNA". It matches the Rfam family "Bacterial small subunit ribosomal RNA", at positions 30 to 523 of the family's 1533-position model. The record is from RNAcentral.
AUUGAACGCUGGCGGCAUGCCUUACACAUGCAAGUCGAACGGCAGCAUGGAGAGCUUGCUCUCUGAUGGCGAGUGGCGAACGGGUGAGUAAAGCAUCGGAACGUACCGUGUAGUGGGGGAUAACGUAGCGAAAGUUACGCUAAUACCGCAUACGCACUGAGGUGGAAAGCAGGGGAUCGUAAGACCUUGCGCUAUACGAGCGGCCGAUGUCAGAUUAGCUAGUUGGUAGGGUAAAGGCCUACCAAGGCGAAGAUCUGUAGCGGGGCUGAGGGGAUGAUCCGCCACACUGGGACUGAGACACGGCCCAGAGUCCUACGGGAGACAGCAGUGGGGAAUUUUGGACAAUGGGGGCAACCCUGAUCCAGCCAUGCCGCGUGAGUGAAGAAGGCCUUCGGGUUGUAAAGCUCUUUCGGCCGGGAAGAAAUCGCACAGGCUAAUACCCUGUGUGGAUGACGGUACCGUAAGAAUAAGCACCGGCUAACUACGUGCCAGCCGCCGCAGUAA